CCAACUGUACAUUGUCUUGAUAGAGUGCAAAGUGAUCAUCACCUGCUCCCAAAGUGAGUAAACAUUUGGUUUGCACAGUCUAUCCUCUUAGCAGGUUGCAUGUGGAACAUCCUUUCAGGACCACUGUCUUUUAAGCAGGUAGCUAUACUGAGGAGGAAGACUGGUUUGUAUAGUCCACACCAACUGUAGAAGUUGAUGGUGGU
Molecule: long non-coding RNA, 203 nt
Filed under: Phoenix dactylifera (date palm)
Lineage: Eukaryota; Viridiplantae; Streptophyta; Magnoliopsida; Arecales; Arecaceae
Description: long non-coding RNA (PDAC_LNC000486)
Source: RNAcentral